GGGCUUCAGGACCCAGAGGGACAGGGAUUUGAGAUACUUAACAGCUUUUGAAAUUUUGAAGUAUCUCUGCUGGGGUUGAAACAAAAUCAAACCACGAACAACUGUGCUGAGGCAGGAGAAUGGCAGUGUGUUGGGACAGAACCCUGACAGAUUUGCUUCUGUGGUUCUUAGGAAUCUAACAAGGGCCUCACACAAACCAAGCAAGUGGUCCCUAAGACACACACCCCCAUCUUGAGGGACAGGGGACAUUAAGAGAUGGGUAAGGGCUAGAGAGAAAGCCAGAAGAGUGAGUGUAGAACUCAGAGCAGAGGAGGACUUUGGAGUUUGUCAGCUCUCUGCUGUCAUCCUGUAGGAGAGGCCAGGGUGAGAACGCUUGCCUGAUCCCUUGGUGUGGUUGAAGGGCUCUAAGCGCCUCUUUACAUGUGAGCAUACAACAGGGAACAUGAUAAAGAACUGGGAAGGGAAGCUCAGAGGAGAAAGGCUCAAAGUCCAGAGACUCAUAGAGGGGUCCCAGGGUGGUACUUUAGAGGAGGAAGCGAUGUUGAAGCACCACGGGGCCAUACCAGUAACCAAGGUUACCUCUUCUGUGAGACACCGAGUCUCCUGUUGGCCACAGUAAAUCACCAGGUCUCCUGUGCAGCCCAGCUCCAGGCAGCAGCCUCACCCACUUGAGCAGCCAGCUCCAAUGAGAGGGACUCCUCCUGCUCAGUGGGAGACAAGAGGUGAGAGGUGCUCCCUUCUGGCUCAGCCACACUCCUGCUUUAAAGUGAACUUUCUUCUAACUCCAAAAGUCUUGUAUACCUAAUGCCCACUAUUCCGAGGCUCUGAAGAUUAACUCAUUUUAACUUCCCUGUUUGAAAGAAAUACCAAUAUCUCUGUUUUUCAGUUAAGGAAGCUAAGGUUUGGUUAAGUCAUUUUCUCUCUCUCUUUUUUUUUAAUAUUUUUUACAUAUUUGUAUAUGUGUGUCUGUCUGUCUGACAAUCUGUCUGUGGAGACUGGAAGAGAGCACUGGAUUCCUAGAGGUGGAGUCACAGGCAGUUGUGUACUGCCCGACUUGAGACCUGGGAACUGAACUCAGGCCCUCAGGAAGAGCAGCAGGUGUUCUAACCACUGAACCAUGUCUCCAACCUGCUGCCUUUCCCACUUUCCUCGGAAAUGAUGAUUUUGAGAUAGGAUCUGUGUAUCCCCAGACUGGCCUUGUAUUCAUAAUCCUCCUGACUUGGCCUCCUGAGAGCUAGGGUUGCAAGCAUAUGCCUCCAUGCCUGGUGGCUAUGCCAUUUUCUCAAGCCAUUUCUCAGUUGGCCACCCCAAGCGCUGGCCCUGGGUUUUCCAACUUAAGAGCCUGUGCUCCAACUAUCCUACGUGUUGCUUUGCGCUUGCUUUCCUCAUAGGGUCCUUUGGCUGAGUCUCUCCAGACUGAUGCAAAUCCUGCAGUUGAAUGAAGGAGGGAGGAGGGGCUUUUUUUUUUUUUUCCAGAUCCCAGACAUCAAAGUACUUUCCAGGACAUUUUCCUAGCUGAGUUUUCAAAACAACAACUCUGUAAGGGCCCAGGCGUAGGUCUAGUGCCUGAUUCCAGAGGCAGGCAGCUGAGAGUUGAAAGCUGUGCUUCAGGAGACGGGAGUAUGGAGCCUGCUGCUGCCUCCCAGGGCAUCAGACCUUACUGUCCUGCCUUGAGAUCUACCGAUGGAGCCCAGGGGUUUCUGGAACUGUCUGCCAGAGGAAGAGUGACUGUGGCCAGGUUCGGGCCAUAGUAUAAACCUGUCGCUACUUGAUUUAGCAGAUAGAUAGCUGUGGCAACUAAACAGACCCAACACAAUCUCGAUCUUGGAAUAGUCGAGGACUGGUCCCGUGUUAGCUAAAUGGGAGCCCUCAGCAGGGCAGGCAGCUUCUUCAAAGGGGUGGGACACUGGCAGCAAAACAAGAGAUUCUACCCUCCCAGGCUCGAGGAACUGACCUCAGGACAGCUGAAGCCAAAUCCUUUUGAUUUCAACAUGGUUCCUUGUAGUAGC
Molecule: long non-coding RNA, 2009 nt
Filed under: Mus musculus (house mouse)
Lineage: Eukaryota; Metazoa; Chordata; Mammalia; Rodentia; Muridae
Description: long non-coding RNA chr19:42056534-42058543
Source: RNAcentral